AGUCGAGCGGACAGAUGGGAGCUUGCUCCCUGAUGUUAGCGGCGGACGGGUGAGUAACACGUGGGUAACCUGCCUGUAAGACUGGGAUAACUCCGGGAAACCGGGGCUAAUACCGGAUGGUUGUUUGAACCGCAUGGUUCAGACAUAAAAGGUGGCUUCGGCUACCACUUACAGAUGGACCCGCGGCGCAUUAGCUAGUUGGUGAGGUAACGGCUCACCAAGGCAACGAUGCGUAGCCGACCUGAGAGGGUGAUCGGCCACACUGGGACUGAGACACGGCCCAGACUCCUACGGGAGGCAGCAGUAGGGAAUCUUCCGCAAUGGACGAAAGUCUGACGGAGCAACGCCGCGUGAGUGAUGAAGGUUUUCGGAUCGUAAAGCUCUGUUGUUAGGGAAGAACAAGUGCCGUUCAAAUAGGGCGGCACCUUGACGGUACCUAACCAGAAAGCCACGGCUAACUACGUGCCAGCAGCCGCGGUAAUACGUAGGUGGCAAGCGUUGUCCGGAAUUAUUGGGCGUAAAGGGCUCGCAGGCGGUUUCUUAAGUCUGAUGUGAAAGCCCCCGGCUCAACCGGGGAGGGUCAUUGGAAACUGGGGAACUUGAGUGCAGAAGAGGAGAGUGGAAUUCCAC
RNAcentral lists this ribosomal RNA (630 nucleotides) under Bacillus subtilis. RNAcentral describes it as "bacterial SSU rRNA". It matches the Rfam family "Bacterial small subunit ribosomal RNA", at positions 60 to 672 of the family's 1533-position model. The record is from RNAcentral. Lineage: Bacteria; Bacillati; Bacillota; Bacilli; Caryophanales; Bacillaceae.